GAGGAGGGAUUGUUUUGCGAUUUUGGGCCGUAUGAGGCUGUUGACAAGAGUCUUAACGUUUGUAGGUUUUCUAAGCGUGUUCUGAGACUUUUGCGUUAAUUGAAGCGCAAGUGUCUUAAAAAGGAGCGACGCAUAUUGUAGUAAAAUUUUUUGAAAUCUCUAAAAAACUCGAUUACAAUAACGCAUGUUUUCCUAUGUGGGAGUAUACGAGUAUACGCACCCACUCCCCCCCCCCUUUUUAGAGAGGGGGAUAGCUGAACUCGUCUUUCGACGAGCUGCCUACGUACCUCUUUCGAGGAUCAAGCCAUCUCUUAGUUCUAUUUGAUGCCGCGAGCGUUUUUACUCGGCGAUUGUCGCCGUGCUGACCGCCUUGAUAGUGGUGACCGCGGCCGGGUCAGCGUUCUCUUCCGGAUGUUCCGGUUGAGUCGUAGUGUCGGCUUCGGACUCGUGUUGAGUUUCGACAUCCGAAGUGUUUGCAUCGGCAGACGAUGUUAAAUCG
This 499-nucleotide long non-coding RNA is filed under the name Brassica napus (rape). RNAcentral's name for it is "long non-coding RNA (BNAP_LNC010136)". The record is from RNAcentral. Lineage: Eukaryota; Viridiplantae; Streptophyta; Magnoliopsida; Brassicales; Brassicaceae.